RNAcentral lists this transfer RNA (89 nucleotides) under bacterium. Its description in RNAcentral is "tRNA-Ser". It matches the Rfam family "tRNA". Rfam says of the family: Transfer RNA (tRNA) molecules are approximately 80 nucleotides in length. Their secondary structure includes four short double-helical elements and three loops (D, anti-codon, and T loops). Further hydrogen bonds mediate the characteristic L-shaped molecular structure. tRNAs have two regions of fundamental functional importance: the anti-codon, which is responsible for specific mRNA codon recognition, and the 3' end, to which the tRNAs corresponding amino acid is attached (by aminoacyl-tRNA synthetases). tRNAs cope with the degeneracy of the genetic code in two manners: having more than one tRNA (with a specific anti-codon) for a particular amino acid; and 'wobble' base-pairing, i.e. permitting non-standard base-pairing at the 3rd anti-codon position. The record is from RNAcentral.
GGAGGAGUGGCCGAGAGGACUAAGGCGGCGGUCUUGAAAACCGCUUCUCGUUCUGCGAGACGUGGGUUCGAAUCCUACCUCCUCCGCCA